RNAcentral lists this unclassified non-coding RNA (496 nucleotides) under Artemisia annua (sweet wormwood). RNAcentral's name for it is "partial external transcribed spacer". The stretch from base 430 to 496 matches the Rfam family "Eukaryotic small subunit ribosomal RNA", at positions 1 to 64 of the family's 1831-position model. The record is from RNAcentral. Lineage: Eukaryota; Viridiplantae; Streptophyta; Magnoliopsida; Asterales; Asteraceae.
UCGUAAAGGUGCAUGAGUGGUGUUUGGUUUGUUAGCGUGUGGUUGGCUGCGGCGUUUGCAACAACUUCCAUGCUUUCAGACCUCUUCAGUUGUGCGGCAAGGCUUGUAUCGCCUUGAGCGUAUUGUGGGUUUUCUGUGUUGGCUACCUAAUCAAUGGUAUCGGUUGGAUUGAUCAAUGUUUCAUUUCGUCUAUCGUCGCAUUUGCGGCGUGAGAUGAACCUUGAWGCGGUCUCUUUGAUCCACCUCGUCGAAGCGCAUGCUUUGGCGUUGUGGCACAUUGAGCAUUGCUUGGUCUCUUGUAUACGGAACAUAUAGUGGGCAUGGAUCUAACGAUUCUCGUUUGCCCUCAUAUUAGCGUAACGCUUCUCUUACACGACUUGCUCCACGUUUUAGCUCGUACGGACGUGGUGCUAUGUCGAAGAGGAAUGCUACCUGGUUGAUCCUGCCAGUAGUCAWWSBAUGCUUGUCUCAAAGAUUAAGCCAUGCAUGUGUAAGU